RNAcentral lists this ribosomal RNA (253 nucleotides) under uncultured bacterium. Its description in RNAcentral is "partial 16S ribosomal RNA". It matches the Rfam family "Archaeal small subunit ribosomal RNA", at positions 474 to 727 of the family's 1478-position model. The record is from RNAcentral.
UACCCGCAGCACAAGUGGUGGUCAUUAUUAUUGGGCCUAAAGCGUCCGUAGCUGGCUUGUUAGAUGCCUGGGUAAAUCGAUGCGCUCAACGCAUCGAAUUCCGGGUAGACCGGCAAGCUCGAGACCGGGAGAGGUGUAGGCUACUCGAGGGGUAGGGGUAAAAUCCUGUAAUCCUUCGGGGAGGACCAGUGGCGAAGGCGCUACACUAGAACGGCUCUGACAGUGAGGGACGAAGCCCUGGGGCGCAAACCGG